Camelus dromedarius (Arabian camel) is the source of this 813-nucleotide long non-coding RNA. RefSeq lists it as uncharacterized. The record is from RefSeq and is a predicted model, not a curated record. The transcript has 2 exons. Lineage: Eukaryota; Metazoa; Chordata; Mammalia; Artiodactyla; Camelidae.
GACCUGCUCGGAAUGGUCCGGAGGGUUCCGCAGCUUCGGCGGCCCGUGGGCGGAUGGCGGGGCGGGCCGCGGGGUUAGGGAGACCCCGCAGGCGGCGACCGAGACUGGAGGCGAUCAGGAAUGAGGCCAGGCUACGACUCCUCCUUCCUCCCGAAAGAACUUUCCCACGGUACCGCGGAGGUGCAGCCCUCAGCUCUCUGCCUCCGCCCAGAGAGGGGCUGCUGGUGCCAGGUGAGAAACCAAGGUGCUGAAGACAUCUCUUUGAAGUAUUUCCCAUGGAGAGUGUUGACUCAGCAGAAAAUGCCCCACCUUGAGGAUGGCAUUGGGAAGGACCAGAGAAGAAACAGCUGCCAACGUAGAAGUACUUCAGAUGAGUUGGUUUUGCCGGCUUCCAGCCCUUGUCCUUGGACACAGUGAGCCUCAGGAAUGAAUACACAGUGGAACACCCAACACCAUUCUAGAGGCAGGGGAGGCCUAACAGAGGUGGCCAGGAACACCGCCGCCCUCCCUAUCAGAUGUAGGCAGGAAUGAGGAAGGGAGCCUGUCACCUGAGGGCCUGCCAUCAGGACUUCCAUCGCAUGAACCAUUGUAGUCAGCAAAGUUUGAUGCAGGCUUGACGUUUGAGGGACACCUAGUCUGUGUUAAGUGGUCUUCACCUCUCUGUAUGUAUCUUAAGUCAUCCUUCCAACCUCAUAAGGGAAGUGUUAUCAUUGUUUUUUAAAUGAUGAAAAUGAAGUUCCAAGAAGAGGUUGUAUGACCCUGAGUCUGUAAAAUGGCAGAGCCAGAACCUGGAAUAAAAAUCUCUUAACCAUU